Molecule: ribosomal RNA, 478 nt
Filed under: uncultured bacterium
Lineage: Bacteria
Description: partial 16S ribosomal RNA
Rfam family: Bacterial small subunit ribosomal RNA
Source: RNAcentral
GAUGAACGCUGGCGGCGUGCUUAACACAUGCAAGUCGAACGGGAAACCUUUUAUUGAAGCUUCGGCAGAUUUAGCUGGUUUCUAGUGGCGGACGGGUGAGUAACGCGUGGGUAACCUGCCCUAUACAGGGGGAUAACAACCAGAAAUGGUUGCUAAUACCGCAUAAGCGCACAGGGCCGCAUGGUCCGGUGUGAAAAACUCCGGUGGUAUAGGAUGGACCCGCGUUGGAUUAGCCAGUUGGCAGGGUAACGGCCUACCAAAGCGACGAUCCAUAGCCGGCCUGAGAGCGAGAACUGCCAGAUCGGGAUUGGGCCAAGACCGAGACUCAUGCGGGAGGCAGCAGUCGAGAAGAUUGUACAAUGGAUGAAACCCUGAUGAAGCGAAGCCGCGUGAAGGAAGAAGUAUCUCGGUAUGUAAAUUUAGAUCAGCAGGGAAGAUAGUGACGGUACCUGACUAAGAAGCCCCGGCUAACUACGUG